GACGAACGCUGGCGGCGUGCUUAACACAUGCAAGUCGAACGGAAAGGCCCUGCUUUUGUGGGGUGCUCGAGUGGCGAACGGGUGAGUAACACGUGAGUAACCUGCCCUUGACUUUGGGAUAACUUCAGGAAACUGGGGCUAAUACCGGAUAGGAGCUCCUGCUGCAUGGUGGGGGUUGGAAAGUUUCGGCGGUUGGGGAUGGACUCGCGGCUUAUCAGCUUGUUGGUGGGGUAGUGGCCUACCAAGGCUUUGACGGGUAGCCGGCCUGAGAGGGUGACCGGCCACAUUGGGACUGAGAUACGGCCCAGACUCCUACGGGAGGCAGCAGUGGGGAAUAUUGCACUAUGGGCGGAAGCCUGAUGCAGCAACGCCGCGUGCGGGAUGACGGCCUUCGGGUUGUAAACCGCUUUCGCCUGUGACGAAGCGUGAGUGACGGUAAUGGGUAAAGAAGCACCGGCUAACUACGUG
RNAcentral lists this ribosomal RNA (468 nucleotides) under uncultured bacterium. RNAcentral's name for it is "partial 16S ribosomal RNA". It matches the Rfam family "Bacterial small subunit ribosomal RNA", at positions 28 to 507 of the family's 1533-position model. The record is from RNAcentral.